CGAAAGUCUGAUGGAGCAACGCCGCGUGAGUGAAGAAGGGUUUCGGCUCGUAAAACUCUGUUGUUAAAGAAGAACAUAUCUGAGAGUAACUGUUCAGGUAUUGACGGUAUUUAACCAGAAAGCCACGGCUAACUACGUGCCAGCAGCCGCGGUAAUACGUAGGUGGCAAGCGUUGUCCGGAUUUAUUGGGCGUAAAGCGAGCGCAGGCGGUUUUUUAAGUCUGAUGUGAAAGCCUUCGGCUCAACCGAAGAAGUGCAUCGGAAACUGGGAAACUUGAGUGCAGAAGAGGACAGUGGAACUCCAUGUGUAGCGGUGAAAUGCGUAGAUAUAUGGAAGAACACCAGUGGCGAAGGCGGCUGUCUGGUCUGUAACUGACGCUGAGGCUCGAAAGUAUGGGUAGCAAACAGGAUUAGAUACCCUGGUAG
This 425-nucleotide ribosomal RNA is filed under the name uncultured bacterium. RNAcentral describes it as "bacterial SSU rRNA". It matches the Rfam family "Bacterial small subunit ribosomal RNA", at positions 376 to 793 of the family's 1533-position model. The record is from RNAcentral.